UAUUGUAGCCAACCUUUUUAUCAAUGUCCAGUCUCGUCUGAUCUCAGAAGCCAAGGACAGCCAAGCCUGGUCAGUACUUGAAUGGAAGAUCACUGGGAUACCAAGUGCCACUGUGG
RNAcentral lists this ribosomal RNA (116 nucleotides) under Periophthalmus magnuspinnatus. The record is from RNAcentral. Lineage: Eukaryota; Metazoa; Chordata; Actinopteri; Gobiiformes; Gobiidae.